AGAAAGGCUAAAGAAAAACAGUGGGAACCGGACACAGAGCAACUGUGUCAGUGAUAAAACCUUUUUUUCUUCUUUUUUUUUUUUUACCGUAUGCUUCUCAAACGCUCACGGUAGAUGUUUAUGCUUCCGAGUAAAACACAGUGUGUGGCCUCAUCCACUCGGGCGACGAGCAAUGGAGGACACCAGCAUGCACACACCUGCAGAAGGCGUGCUCCCCGAGACCUUUGAGGGCCGACGCGUUCACCGUGCCGAGGUGGAGCUCGUCGAAGAGCAGUGUCUCCCGGUGAAGUUAUCGGGACACGAGCAGUGAAAAGAUCCCGUUUGCGGGAUCGCUGUGCAGACGCCUCCGUUCUGACAG
Poecilia reticulata (guppy) is the source of this 358-nucleotide long non-coding RNA. RefSeq lists it as uncharacterized. The record is from RefSeq and is a predicted model, not a curated record. Lineage: Eukaryota; Metazoa; Chordata; Actinopteri; Cyprinodontiformes; Poeciliidae.